UACGAAGGGGGCGAGCGUUGUUCGGAUUUACUGGGCGUAAAGGGCGCGCAGGCGGCUCAUUUUGUCAGGCGUGAAAGCCCCGGGCUUAACCUGGGAACUGCGUUUGAUACGGAUGGGCUAGAGUUCGGGAGAGGAGAGUGGAAUUCCCAGUGUAGAGGUGAAAUUCGUAGAUAUUGGGGAGAACACCGGUGGCGAAGGCGGCUCUCUGGACCGAGACUGACGCUGAGGCGCGAAAGCGUGGGGAGCAAACAGG
RNAcentral lists this ribosomal RNA (253 nucleotides) under uncultured bacterium. Its description in RNAcentral is "partial 16S ribosomal RNA". It matches the Rfam family "Bacterial small subunit ribosomal RNA", at positions 524 to 776 of the family's 1533-position model. The record is from RNAcentral.